This 136-nucleotide small RNA is filed under the name Salmonella enterica. RNAcentral describes it as "RtT sRNA". It matches the Rfam family "RtT RNA". Rfam says of the family: This family represents a bacterial cis-regulatory element known as RtT RNA. The record is from RNAcentral. Lineage: Bacteria; Pseudomonadati; Pseudomonadota; Gammaproteobacteria; Enterobacterales; Enterobacteriaceae.
AUCCCCCAAAACAAGGGGGGGAUGAGACCCCCCGACCGGGGUUCGACAACUGGCGCAGCCAGUUGGACAGACGACGAGCCUGCGAGGAGACUGCCCGAAGGGCGAGCGCAGCGAGUCAAUCCCCCCCUCACCGCCA